GGCCUUGCCAGAGUUGGGGUUUUUGCCUCUCUGGGAGAUUUUUCGCGUUCCACUGGCCGUUUAUUUCACCUCGCCGGUUUCCCGCGGUGUGUGGGAGUAGGGCCAGCCCAGCGCAGGCCUUGGGAGCUGCCGGUGACGCUGCGCUGGGUGUGGACACGCAGGUGCGCCGCCGCCGCCAGGGACUCGUCGUCUUAACAGUACCUCCUCCAGGAUGGUGCUGCCGAGCCUUUUUAGAUUUUUAUUUUUUGGCAGAUGGUUCAAAUUUUUCCCAUGUUCCCGUUUCCGGGAUGAACGCACAGCAGUGGGACCCAUGCUGAGGAUAUGCAAGGCCACCGAAUUACCAUUUGCUUGCGUUUGGGAGUAGCAUUUGAAUUAAAACCUAAGAGGAGAAGAACAUGUUGGAUGUACGCCAGGAAGCAAACACAAGUGGAAAGACCAAAUCCCCCUUGACCUCCCAGGCUCCCAUCACCUCGGAUCCGCCCACUCUGGGGACAGAAGUGAAGCUGUAGUGUGGACCUUCUCGUGACUGCUUAUCUCAACAAACAUCACUUCUUCAAGACUCAUCCAUGGUGCACUGGGAGGUGAUGGCAUCCCCUUCUGUCUUCUUUUUAAUUAAAAAAAUAAUUUAUUUUUA
Long non-coding RNA from Rattus norvegicus (Norway rat), 634 nucleotides. NCBI's taxonomy places the organism in Eukaryota, Metazoa, Chordata, Mammalia, Rodentia, Muridae. The record is from Ensembl.